This 495-nucleotide ribosomal RNA is filed under the name uncultured bacterium. RNAcentral's name for it is "partial 16S ribosomal RNA". It matches the Rfam family "Bacterial small subunit ribosomal RNA", at positions 28 to 507 of the family's 1533-position model. The record is from RNAcentral.
GAUGAACGCUGGCGGCGUGCCUAAUACAUGCAAGUAGAACGCUGAAGCGGGAGCUUUCUCUUCUGGAUGAUUUGCGCACGGGUGAGUAACGCGUAUGGAACCUGCCUCUUAGCGGGGGAGAACUAUUCGAAACGAUAGCUAAUACCGCAUGACAUCAAUUAUAGCAUGAUAACUAUUUAAAAGAGGCAACUUUUCCACUACCAGAUGAUCCUGCGUUGUAUUAAGUAGUUGGUGAGGUAACGGCUCAACAAGGAGACGAUACAGAGUCGACCUGAGAGGGGGGUCGGCCACACUGGGAAUGAGACACGGCCCAGACUCCUACGGGAGGCAGGAGGAGGGGAUCUUCGGCAAUGGAGGGAAGGCUGAACGGGGCACGGCGCGUGAGUGGAGGAGGGUUUCGGAUCGUAAAGCUUCGUUGAUAGGGGAGGACGAAUGUGAGAGUGGAAAGUUCACACUGUGACGGUAUCUUACCAGAAAGGGACGGCUAACUACGUG